Molecule: non-coding RNA, 122 nt
Organism: Glycine soja
Lineage: Eukaryota; Viridiplantae; Streptophyta; Magnoliopsida; Fabales; Fabaceae
Source: Rfam
UGGAGAAACAUCAUUGAGUGCAGCGUUGAUGAAGUCCUAAAUAGUAAAUAGCAACUACCCCUCGUGUUUCUCAGGUAGAUGCUUAAAUGGUUUUAUUGACGCUGCACUCAAUCAUGUUUUUU